UUCGCAAUGCCCGAAAGGGUGACGAAGCGACGCCGCGUGCGGGAAGAAGGCCUUCGGGUUGUAAACCUCUGUCGGGAGUUAAGAAAUGCAAGGGUGUUAACAGCAUCCUUGCUUGACUAAGGCUCCGGAGGAAGCCACGGCUAACUCUGUGCCAGCAGCCGCGGUAAUACAGAGGCGGCAAGCGUUGUUCGGAAUUAUCGGGCGUAAAGAGCACGUAGGCGGCUGUGUAAGUCGGUUGUGAAAGCCUUCCGCUCAACGGGAGAACGGCAUCCGAUACUGCAUGGCUAGAGUGCGGGAGGGGGGAGUGGAACUUCUGAUGGAGCGGUGAAAUGCGUAGAUAUCAGAAGGAACACCGGCGGCGGAAGCGACUCUCUGGCCCGUAACUGACGCUGAGUGUGCGAAAGCUAGGGGAGCAAACGGGAUUAGAUACCCCGGUAGUCCUAGCCGUAAACGAUGGGCACUAAGUAGAGGGGUUUU
RNAcentral lists this ribosomal RNA (477 nucleotides) under uncultured bacterium. RNAcentral describes it as "bacterial SSU rRNA". It matches the Rfam family "Bacterial small subunit ribosomal RNA", at positions 365 to 832 of the family's 1533-position model. The record is from RNAcentral.